Molecule: ribosomal RNA, 468 nt
Filed under: Triticum aestivum (bread wheat)
Lineage: Eukaryota; Viridiplantae; Streptophyta; Magnoliopsida; Poales; Poaceae
Description: partial small subunit ribosomal RNA
Source: RNAcentral
AUGCAUGAUCAGGUCGGCAUCGACCUGGACGGCUUCCCACUCGACCACGAGUUCCCGGACGACUACGGGCUAGAGGAAGAGGACGAGUGCGACAUCGAAGUGGAGCCUUUGUUCGAGGACGAGCUCGCCAACCAAGCCGCCGGUCCUAAGCCGAAGCGCAAGAGCAAGCACAUGAAGGCAUACAUGGCGGCUGAGGACAAGCUUCUUCGCAAGUGUUCGCGAGACAUUGGACAAGACCCUAAGACGGGCGCCGAGCAAAAGCAUUCAACCUUUUGGAUUCGUGUCCACCGAGAGUUUCAUGAGCGCAAGAAGUUUCCGCCUUACCAAUUUGUGAGCACGCGCGGGUGGGUGUCCAUUUCCAAGCGAUGGAGGGUGAUCCAACAAGAGUGCAACAAGUUUUGCGCCACUCUUGAGAGCGUCAAGGCCCGCCCCGUGAGCGGCAUCGGCAUGCAAGACAUGGUAUGCUAG